RNAcentral lists this ribosomal RNA (253 nucleotides) under uncultured bacterium. RNAcentral's name for it is "partial 16S ribosomal RNA". It matches the Rfam family "Bacterial small subunit ribosomal RNA", at positions 524 to 776 of the family's 1533-position model. The record is from RNAcentral.
UACGUAGGGGGCGAGCGUUGUCCGGAUUUAUUGGGCGUAAAGAGCGUGUAGGCGGCUUGGCAAGUCUGGUGUGAAAUCUUGCGGCUCAACCGCAAGCGGUCACUGGAAACUGCCUCGCUAGAGUCCGGAAGAGGAGAGCGGAAUUCCUGGUGUAGCGGUGGAAUGCGCAGAUAUCAGGAAGAACACCCGUGGCGAAGGCGGCUCUCUGGGACGGUACUGACGCUGAGACGCGAAAGCGUGGGGAGCGAACAGG